Long non-coding RNA from Alosa sapidissima (American shad), 425 nucleotides. RefSeq lists it as uncharacterized. NCBI's taxonomy places the organism in Eukaryota, Metazoa, Chordata, Actinopteri, Clupeiformes, Clupeidae. The transcript is spliced from 2 exons. The record is from RefSeq and is a predicted model, not a curated record.
ACCCGUUUUGGCCAAGAAUAUAUUUCGCAUGGCCUAACCCACCAUCAUAACCAAAAUCAAUUAUCUCUACGAACAUACAUUUCUGGUUCAAAUAUCACCAUACAUAGUCAACACAAUACUCUUCACAUAUUUAACUGCCUAGCAUCAUUAUACAUCCUCUGUAUCCGCCUUAAAUAUUCCCCCAACACAUGAAAGCCAAAAACACCCCUCUUAUCCCACACACUUGAUCCCUGCACCUCUCUGACGUCACACCCCUCAAUGCACAAAGUCCUUCCCGACUUCACGUCGGGUCCUUUCCCAGCCUACAGCACCCAGAAGCCAGCGCGGCCGCAGCGCGGCGUCCUGAAUGCCUUGGAAUGUCAUGUUCGUGUGUGCGCUGGAAUACUAUGUUUGUGCUAACGUGCUAAUAAAAGGGUGUUUGUGAA